GGUGGAUUUCUUCUCUGCUCACCUGCUUGGUGUCAUUCAACGCCCUGGAAAAACAUUGAUGGGAGAGACAGGAACUAGGCUGGUGUCUUGUACAUGAUCUCAUCCAAGCCUUCCACAACUCUAAGCCAGAUCCCAGCGGCCAACUGCAGAACCAUUUACAUUAUAGAAGAUGACAGAAAAAGGGUUCUAUAAAACCCACCAACACUGGAUCUGGCACGUAAGGAAGCUCGAUGCUGGUAACUAACAUCAUUCUUCUUGUAUCUAUGCUUAUUUUUCACAUUUGUUAACCAUGUGCUUUUGAUGAAUCCGCAAUAACCAACCUAACAGAUCCCAAACCCAUAUUCUGAUAUGCACUGUCCCAGGAUUUCCACAAUGUGCUAUGCUGAACAAUAGAACACCAACUCUCGACCAUAUAAAUGUAUAUCUACAGCUAAAUAUACUUCUGGAAAACUUUAUUUUGAAAGUAAUUAUAGACUCAGAGGAAACUGGAAAACUAGUAGAAAAAUCCCACAAAACCUUUCCCUAAAAACACGUGGUUGAAUGAAAACUGUUGGCCUCUUUCUCCCUCUUCACAGGGCAAAAAGAGCAGCAAGGGGUUAAGGAACCAGGCAGAGGGACUUCUAGAAAAGCCCAGAGCUCAAGUCUUUCGCAGGCUCUCCUGCCCCCCCAGCUUCAAUUUUAGCCCCAGCAGCAGUAAUAUUACCUAAGUGCCCAACGGAAACUUCUUUCACAUUCCCCCACAGCUUUACAGUGUCCUGUCUCACUGUCUGCCUGUCCUUACUGUGAAGAUUCCCUAGACACCAAUUUUCCUUAUUAAAAACAAAUCAUCCCCAUGUAUUUUUUACAAACAUAUAGCUAUAGUUAGAAAAUGUCUGUUUUCCUUGGAGUUCCUAUAGCUGGUAAUAGUUUAUGAAGAUGGCCCCUGACAUGUUUCUUAAGUCAGUCUGUUCUGCUACUUAACUAAGAAGGAUCAUUCCUUCUGCCUCUCCUCCAACAACCUUCUGCCUCCCUUCUGUCUCACCAUGGACGUGCUACAUGCCAUCUGGGCCUCCAAGGGCAGGGCUGAGACUAACCUCUGUCAUCAGCCUUGCUGCUCAUUUCUUCUUCCUUGUCCUCGUCCUCACUGCUGGAGCUUUCCAUCUUUUCCUUCAUCUGUUCCAGCUGAUCCAAGUUAACCCGUCCAACCAGCUCAAAAUUACGGCUCACCUGAAAAAGGUCCAAAUGAAUAACAGAAUCAUGAGCCACAGACCGAAGAGGGCUCUCCCCGGGGGAGAGAUUUUUCUACCACCACUUUCUCUUGACCGUGUUUUUGGAACCAGGACCAAACAACACCAGUGCCCAAGAAGCUCUUUUCUUCUCUUGGGCUGUUCCAAGGGUGGAUCUGUCCUUUACCCUCUUGUUCCAACAUUUUUAAAGGAACACUGGACCUUCCUCACCAUAUGCAGCAAAAAACACGAGCUCCAGCUGGCAGGAAAUCAAAGUAUCACAAAGCCUGGGGUACAGAGUAGGUGUCCAAUAAUGCUCUUUUUGAGUUGAAUUCAAAGGUGUAACUUUUGUAAACUACCAAAUUUCAAAUACCUCUGGAGGCGAAGAGGCUCUGUGAGUAUCCUGAAAACUAUCACGAGAGUCAGAACCUUCUUCUACAUGAUCUUAUCAGCCUGGAGGCUGUGGGGCCCCAGCUUAAGCCAGAUGACUACUAUUGGACUCCCAACUCCGUAUAUGGAAGACAACACCGUUACUCAAAAAGAGAACAAGGAGCAUGGAUGGGCUUUGAAGUCUGACAGAUCUGAGUUCAAGUUCAGAGUCUGUCAUUAUUAACCACAUGACUGUGGAUCCCACAUAUAAGUGAAAUCAUUUGGUGCUUGUCUUCUCGGUCGCACUUGUUUCACUUGGCAUCCUACUCUCUAGGUACCCCCCUUGCCGCGCCGUGGAGCCACCAUCUUACCUGGAAUAAGG
This is a long non-coding RNA of Mustela lutreola (European mink), 1956 nucleotides long. RefSeq lists it as uncharacterized. NCBI's taxonomy places the organism in Eukaryota, Metazoa, Chordata, Mammalia, Carnivora, Mustelidae. The record is from RefSeq and is a predicted model, not a curated record. The transcript is spliced from 4 exons.